AGAUUUCAGGUUUUUUAUUUAUUAUGUUACAUAGAAUCACAUAAAAAAAUAUAUAUAUUAUUAUUUUAACUAACACAAUGUCAACAGGCUUACAAAAAUCGAUUUUUUUAUAGUAGUUAAUACUACUAUAAAAAACAAAAACAACAUUAUGUUUCCUAUAAUAGGCACAAUCACAGAUAACUUUAAUUAAUACUAAUCACAGAUAAUCACUAAUGGUUAAGUUAAAAGUGCUUAUUAGUCGCAUGCUUAUUUGUAACACAGUUUGUAAUCUUGUUAAAUUAAAUAAAAUUAAGAAAACGAUUGGUGUUAAUAGAAAUUAAUAAUAUGUGAUGUACCUAUUAAAGGAAACACAAUGUUGUUUGUUAUAAGAAAUAAAAACCUGAAAUCUAUGAUAAUUACAUUUUUUUUUCUUUGGAAGAUUCUAUGUAGCAUAAUAAAUAAAAAACCUGAAAUCUAUGGUAAUUACAUUUUUUUUUCUUUGGAAGGAAGAAGGAACCGUAGCAAAUGUCACCCCCCCGGUGACAACUGAGAAAUAGACUUCCCAUUUGUCCCCUCUAGUCAGUUUUCAAAGGGAACAGUCGGCACAAAUUGUCACCCCGGUGAUAACUGGGAAGACAAUUCCCGGCUAUCACCCCGGAGGACAGCGCUAGAGGGGACUAUUACUACAUAGUAUAAAACAAAGUCGCUUUUUCUGUCAUGUGUCAUGUUGUAUGUCCCUAUGAACGCUCAAAUCUUUAAAACUACGCAACGGAUUUUGAUGCGGUUUUUUUUAAUAGAUAGAGUAACUCAUGAGAAGGUUUUUAUGUAUAAUAACAUCUAUUAAAUAAUGGAGAAAUACUGUUACCCGUGCGAAGCCGGGGCGGGUCGCUAGUUGGGAAUAAUUCGAAUCCGGUUAGACUGGAAGCCGACCCCAACAUAGUUGGGAAAAGGCUCGGAGGAUGAUGAUAUUGCCAUAUUGCAAUCGUAAAUCGUUUGCAGACAAUAUGAUUCAUUAUUGAAUCACAGAAAAGGAUAAACACGUUUAUUUAAAAGAAAAAAUAGUGGAAUGCCACAUACGCUUCAAUCGUAAUUGAGUCGUGAUUGGAUCUCAGUCGGAUGUGAAUCGCAUGUCGCUAAAGUAAAAUUAGCAGGGGCAGGAUUCUGCGCAAUUUUUUCUUUGAAAUAAACGUUUUUAUCCUUUUCUGUCAUUCAAUAAUGAAUCAUUUUGUCUGCAAAUGAUUUACGAUUGCAAUAUGGCAAUAUAGACUAAGAAUAUUAUGGUAAUAUAGACCAAAAUGGCAGACCAAUCGCAAACCAAUCGAAUGUCGUUGGAAUACGAUUGGUCUUAUAUUAGUAACAGAAUGCCCGAUAUGGUUAAAAAAGCUGUUGCGAUGCAAUUUCUAUUCAAUUUUGACAUUAUUAACUUAACAGAAUCGGGCCCCAGAAUCGUGCUCCUGAAAGCUCCUAGUCAUCCGGAUAAACUUGUCAUCACGGGAGAUACCAACUCAGUCAAUUAUAAGGUUGGGCGUUUAGAGAAACACAGUUCCUUACGAGUAACCAUUUAUUACUGAAUCCCAUAUGAAAUGAUACAUGAUUUAAUAAGAUAGACAUACAUAGAUAGACACGCGCACACAUACAUAGGUGUGACACAACAUCAAUUUCCACACCCAGAAAAGAAUCCUGAGUUAUUCAAAGCCUGGGUUAAUAUAGUUGGUGGAAAACUGGAGACUGCAGAUGAUAUCAAAUUUUACAGAAAGCGAGUCAUCUGUGACAUACAUUUUGCAGACAAGUUUAAGAAUCGCAACAACCGUUUAAAUAACAUAGCUGUUCCUACUCUCCAUCUUCAGGGUGCUCCAUCACAAGAUGCUCAUAUGCCUCCUGCAACUCCACAUAUACCAACUGAACUUCCUAUGCCUGAACAUAAUAUAUGGAAUCUGCCUUCUACAUCAAAGCAAAUAGUCACUGGUGCUCCAUCACAAGAUGCUCAUAUGCCUCCUGCAACUCCACAUAUACCAACUGAACUUCCUAUGCCUGAACAUAAUAUAUGGGAUCUGCCUUCUACAUCAAAGCAAAUAAUCACUGGUAUGUAAACGCUUGGCUACCUACAUUCUCAAAUUAUGUUUAACUAGCUACCAUAAUUAAUUACUGCAUUAAGUAAUAUGUAACUGUUGUGUAGUCAUUACAAACACACUUCAACUUGAUUUAUUGUAAUGACAAUUUAGGUUAAUAAUCCUCAUGUAACUCACACUAGUAAUUUUGAUGUUUACAAUGACAAUGGUGAAUUAUUAUUAUUUUAUUUUCAGCUGCACCUCCCAAUGCGUGUGUUAUAGCAGCAGAACAUAAUUAUUGCAGUAAACAUGGUAUACAACAAAGACGGAAACUUAAAGGAGACAAAA
This is an RNA transcript of Helicoverpa armigera (cotton bollworm), 2375 nucleotides long. RefSeq lists it as uncharacterized. The transcript is spliced from 4 exons. The record is from RefSeq and is a predicted model, not a curated record. NCBI's taxonomy places the organism in Eukaryota, Metazoa, Arthropoda, Insecta, Lepidoptera, Noctuidae.